Molecule: non-coding RNA, 2303 nt
Organism: Meleagris gallopavo (turkey)
Lineage: Eukaryota; Metazoa; Chordata; Aves; Galliformes; Phasianidae
Source: RefSeq, a predicted model, not a curated record
UUUUGAAGUUGACUGCUGGGGAUGUUUCAUUGAUACCUGUGUAAUGUUACAAUUCCACUGACAAAGUCUGUCCUUUCCUGUACAUCCUGGCUGUGUCCUCACACACCUGAGAGCUCUGCUGCUGAACCAGGUCAUCUAAAGAUGCCUUCAAGAUACCAUUGUACUCUUUGUGAUGUUUGAAGUGGAGGACUGAAUCUUGCCUGUAUCAGCAUAAGGGAAUGAAUUUGCAAGGCUAUCCAGGGCUGUGUGAGCAUGAUGCCAGCUCAUGCAGGGGGAAAAGCGAUGCAGAACAAGGAGAAGGAGGAAGCAGGAUCAGCACAGCAGCAAGAGCAGCAACUUAGGAUUGCUUACAUGAGCAGGAUCUGGCCCAGUUGUUACUGGAGUAUUGUGGAAAACGCAAGAUCGCAUUUGUAUGAGGCUCAUUUCCCAAAAUAUAACAUGGGAUUAAUGGUUUUGGCUCUCCUAAAUGGCUCUUUGUGAUGUCCCAUCCUCUGUUUCUUGAAUAUGCUGAUGGGUUUGAUGCUGGAGAUUCCCCAGGACUUUGUCCCAAGGCUUUGUUCCUGAGUGGCAGAAGUCACUGCUCUGAGAGGCACAGAGACCUGCUGCCCUCAGCAGCACUCUGCAGGCAGAGAUUUUCUUGCCUGCUUCUACUGCUUCAUCUUAAUCAAAUGCAUUUAUUUGAGGUUGGAAGAAGCUGAAGCUUGCCCAGGUUCACUCUGCUUUAGUUGUAAAUGUGAAACCAACCAAGACACAGUGAGUUUUGCUCUUAGCUUCAGCUUGCAGUGAGUACGUUUGCCUCUCCAUCCAUCCAGGACAAAAUGUUUCUGAGGCUAUUUUGAGAUUUGUUGGGCAGAAAAAUGUUAUAACCUCACAACACUGGGGGCCGCAUAGAGAAUAUUAGCUGUGGUGGGUAUACUUCAGGUCUGUCUCAGCAAAACGUUAUCCCACCAUUCAUUUCCAUGCAUCCUGACAAUCACAUGUUCAUGAAUGGUGACUUGCCCACUUGCAGCAGUUAUGCUGUUUCUAGCAUUGGUCAGCAGCCCCUUAAGCACGUUUCCCUUUCUGCCCUCCUCCUGUGCCACUUUGCUGUCCUUCCUUUCCCUACAGAGAUCUCUCUGUUUCUGCAGAAUCUCAGGUAACUCCUCGGAGGCACUCACACAUUUCAUAAGCAAAAACAGGCUGAAAGGGAAGCCAAGGAGCCUGUUUUGGAUGCUACAUGUACAUAACUAUGUAUUACAGAAAGCCUAAUAUGCCCUGGUAAACUUUACUUAACAGACUACUUAAUCUCUACAAAUGCUAACCUCCAGGUUUUUAUUUACGGAGCUGGUGUUUUAUGAUGCCAUUGUCUAAUUGAAAUGUGUUCAUUCCUUCUCCAAGUGCCGCUGCUAAGCAUUUUACUGAUAUAUAGCACGAGGGCUGGAUGGGAUUUUUUUUUUCUUUCAGAGUAAACUUGGGAGACAGAUGGUGUUCAGGCGGUACAGAUGUGACAGCUUCUAUUGCCUUUUUAAUGGAGCUUUUCUUGCCAGCAAAGCACUUUUGUUUUCAAAUGAAAAAAUUGUAAUUUUCGCUGGCAUUGUAGAAAAACAAGCAGCAAUGCAGGAGGAAGGAGAUUUAGAGUUGUAUGUCUGCAGCAAUGAGGGGGCUUCAUAAACCAGAGCUGGCGGCUGCCUGAGCUCAGCUCUCCUCUCUCAUGGGCUUUGCCCAUGAGCCCAUGGAGCAGCUUGGGCAGCAGUUGGGCCCUCAGCCAUCCCUGUCUCUGCUGAAGCUUUCCAAAGAGCCCAUGGCUUGUUCUGUUGGUACAGACAGGGAGGUCGGGGAUGGAAGGCACUGGGAGGUCUGGGAACGGCCUCGGAGUGCUUGAUAUGGGGCCAGCAGGGUGGGCAUGGACCAGUCCCCAGCCUCGAGGUGGACUUGGGAGCAGACUGUCUGAGCCAGUUGGCGCUCAGUGUACCAUCCAAAUCCUUGCGUGUUGGGAAGGUUCAGAACAACAUAUAUAUAUAUAUAUAUAUAUUUUGGCAAUGUGGGUGUGUUUUGUUGGUUGGGUUGAGUUUUUUUUUGUGUGUUUUUUUUUUCUCCUUGUCCAGCUCAGGAGCUUGGAAGCAACAAAAGAAGUGCUCUUUCAUUCAAUGCCAGGAAAAUGCUGUUAUUUAUCAGGGAUAGAAAUGGCAAUGUUAUUUCGCAUGGCGGAUAACCGAUCCUUUGAAACUCGCUAUCUCAGGUUGGCACAAAGGUGAAGGGCUCAGCAGAAGAGGCGCAGUUCAACUCCUCUGCAGAGCAUCUCAGGGCAGUCCCACUGCAAUGUU